UACGUAGGGUGCGAGCGUUGUCCGGAAUUAUUGGGCGUAAAGAGCUCGUAGGCGGUCUGUCGCGUCUGCUGUGAAAACUCAGGGCUUAACCCUGAGCUUGCAGUGGGUACGGGCAGACUAGAGUGCGGUAGGGGAGACUGGAAUUCCUGGUGUAGCGGUGAAAUGCGCAGAUAUCAGGAGGAACACCGGUGGCGAAGGCGGGUCUCUGGGCCACUACUGACACUGAGAGACGAAAGCUAGGGGAGCGAAUGGG
This 253-nucleotide ribosomal RNA is filed under the name uncultured bacterium. Its description in RNAcentral is "partial 16S ribosomal RNA". It matches the Rfam family "Bacterial small subunit ribosomal RNA", at positions 524 to 776 of the family's 1533-position model. The record is from RNAcentral.